GGUAGUAGCUGAAUCAAUUGAA
This 22-nucleotide small nuclear RNA is filed under the name Arabidopsis thaliana (thale cress). RNAcentral's name for it is "snRNA_04106". The record is from RNAcentral. Lineage: Eukaryota; Viridiplantae; Streptophyta; Magnoliopsida; Brassicales; Brassicaceae.